RNAcentral lists this ribosomal RNA (1211 nucleotides) under Paraclostridium sordellii 8483. RNAcentral's name for it is "Paeniclostridium sordellii 8483 partial 23S ribosomal RNA". It matches the Rfam family "Bacterial large subunit ribosomal RNA", at positions 1665 to 2874 of the family's 2925-position model. The record is from RNAcentral. Lineage: Bacteria; Bacillati; Bacillota; Clostridia; Peptostreptococcales; Peptostreptococcaceae.
GGGUGAGGAGAGUAUCCUAAGGCCAGCGAGAGAACUGUUGUUAAGGAACUCGGCAAAAUGACCCCGUAACUUAGGGAGAAGGGGUGCCACGUUAGGGUUAACGCCCGAGGUGGCCGCAGAGAAUAGGCCCAAGCGACUGUUUACCAAAAACACAGGUUUCUGCUAAGUCGCAAGACGAUGUAUAGGAGCUGACGCCUGCCCGGUGCUGGAAGGUUAAGGGGAUCUGUUAGGAUUUAUCCGAAGCAGUGAACUUAAGCCCCAGUAAACGGCGGCCGUAACUAUAACGGUCCUAAGGUAGCGAAAUUCCUUGUCGGGUAAGUUCCGACCCGCACGAAAGGCGUAACGAUUUGGGCACUGUCUCAACAACAGACUCGGUGAAAUUGUAAUCCCGGUGAAGAUGCCGGGUACCUGCGACAGGACGGAAAGACCCCAUGGAGCUUUACUGUAGCUUGACAUUGAAUUUUGGUGCUACAUGUACAGGAUAGGUGGGAGGCUAUGAAGUCGGGACGCCAGUCUCGGCGGAGCCAUCCUUGGGAUACCACCCUUGUAGUACUGAGAUUCUAACCAGAUACCUUGAAUCAGGUAUUGGGACACUGUCAGGUGGGCAGUUUGACUGGGGCGGUCGCCUCCCAAAGAGUAACGGAGGCGCUCAAAGGUUCUCUCAGCACGGUCGGAAAUCGUGCGUAGAGUGUAAAGGCAGAAGAGAGCUUGAUUGCAAGACAUACAGGUCGAGCAAGGACGAAAGUCGGACUUAGUGAUCCGGUGGUUCCGCAUGGAAGGGCCAUCGCUCAACGGAUAAAAGCUACCCUGGGGAUAACAGGCUUAUCUCCCCCAAGAGUCCACAUCGACGGGGAGGUUUGGCACCUCGAUGUCGGCUCAUCACAUCCUGGGGCUGUAGUAGGUCCCAAGGGUUGGGCUGUUCGCCCAUUAAAGUGGUACGCGAGCUGGGUUCAGAACGUCGUGAGACAGUUCGGUCCCUAUCCGUCGCAGGCGUAGGAAAUUUGAGGAGACCUGUCCUUAGUACGAGAGGACCGGGAUGGACGUACCUCUGGUGUACCAGUUGUUCUGCCAAGGGCAUGGCUGGGUAGCUAUGUACGGAAUGGAUAAGCGCUGAAAGCAUCUAAGCGCGAAGCCAACUUCAAGAUAAGAUUUCCCACCGUAAGGGUAAGAUCCCAGGAAGACUACCUGGUUGAUAGGUCAAAGGUGUAAGU